Molecule: ribosomal RNA, 497 nt
Filed under: uncultured bacterium
Lineage: Bacteria
Description: partial 16S ribosomal RNA
Rfam family: Bacterial small subunit ribosomal RNA
Source: RNAcentral
GAUGAACGCUGGCGGCGUGCCUAAUACAUGCAAGUCGAGCGAACGGACGAGGAGCUUGCUCCUCUGACGUUAGCGGCGGACGGGUGAGUAACACGUGGAUAACCUACCUAUAAGACUGGGAUAACUUCGGGAAACCGGAGCUAAUACCGGAUAAUAUAUUGAACCGCAUGGUUCAAUAGUGAAAGACGGUUUUGCUGUCACUUAUAGAUGGAUCCGCGCCGCAUUAGCUAGUUGGUAAGGUAACGGCUUACCAAGGCAACGAUGCGUAGCCGACCUGAGAGGGUGAUCGGCCACACUGGAACUGAGACACGGUCCAGACUCCUACGGGAGGCAGCAGUAGGGAAUCUUCCGCAAUGGGCGAAAGCCUGACGGAGCAACGCCGCGUGAGUGAUGAAGGUCUUCGGAUCGUAAAACUCUGUUAUUAGGGAGGAACAAAUGUGUAAGUAACUAUGCACGUCUUGACGGUACCUAAUCAGAAAGCCACGGCUAACUACGUG